RNAcentral lists this ribosomal RNA (775 nucleotides) under uncultured Neocallimastigales. Its description in RNAcentral is "partial large subunit ribosomal RNA". It matches the Rfam family "Eukaryotic large subunit ribosomal RNA", at positions 23 to 616 of the family's 3401-position model. The record is from RNAcentral. Lineage: Eukaryota; Fungi; Neocallimastigomycota; Neocallimastigomycetes; Neocallimastigales.
AGAGAGAGACAUGCGCGCAUAUCAAUAAGCGGAGGAAAAGAAACUAACAAGGAUUCCCUUAGUAACGGCGAGUGAAGCGGGAAGAGCUCAAAUUUGAAAUCUUCAAGGGUUUACCUUUACGAAUUGUAGUUUAAAGAAGUGUUUUCUGUUGAGUGUUUUGGUAAAAGUUCUUUGGAAUAGGACAUCAUAGAGGGUGAGGAUCCCGUAUUUGACCAUUUACUUCAACUUUGUGAUACACUUUCAAAGAGUCGGAUUGUUUGGGAAUGCAGUCCAAAAUGGGUGGUAAAUUUCAUCUAAAGCUAAAUAUUGGCGAGAGACCGAUAGCGAACAAGUACCGUGAGGGAAAGAUGAAAAGAACUUUGAAAAGAGAGUUAAACAGUACGUGAAAUUGUCAAAAGGGAAGCGUUUGACACCAGUGUUGUUUUUCUGAAAAUCAAUUAAAGAACUGUUUAUGCUAAGCUGUUUAGACUUUAUCAGCUAACUGUUUAGUUUUGAGCUUUUCUUUAAUGCACUUUUCAGUUAACAAGUCAACAUCAAUUUCUUUUGCUGUAAAAAAGCUUGAGGAAGGUGGCUUGAGAUUCGUCUUAAGUGUUUAUAGCCUCUUGCCUAUGCAGUCGGAGAGAUUGAGGUCUGCAGCGUAGAUCCUUCGGGGCUAAAUGCAUUUGUGCUAAGUUAUAGCAUUUUAUAGACAACUUGUUGACUAUGAUUUGUCUUGUAGCUUACUCGCUUAUGUUAUUUUACCUACGCUUAGGAUGUUGAGCGCAUGUCUCUCUCU